GAUGAACGCUGGCGGCAUGCCUAACACAUGCAAGUCGGACGGGCAGUGGUGUUUCUUGUGGCGGUCGGGUGAGCAACGCGUGAGAACCUGCCCUUGGGAGGGGAACAACAGCUGGAAACGGCAGCUAAUACCAAGUAGGCCGAGGAGCAAAAGGAGGAAUCCGCCCGAGGGGGGGCUCGCGUCUGAUUAGCUAGUUGGUGAGGCAAUAGCUUACCAAGGCGAUGGUCAGUAGCUGGUCCGAGAGGGAGAUCAGCCACACUGGGACGGAGACAAGCAGCAGGCUCCUUCGCGAGACGGCAGAAAGGAAGAUGGCGCAAUGGGGGGUAGGCUGAGAAGGCAUUGCGACGGGGAAGUAGUGGGCCUACGGGUCAAGAACUGCUUAUCCCGGAGAAGAAGCAAUGACGGUAUCUGGUGAGAAAGCCACGGCUAACUCCGUG
RNAcentral lists this ribosomal RNA (437 nucleotides) under uncultured bacterium. RNAcentral's name for it is "partial 16S ribosomal RNA". It matches the Rfam family "Bacterial small subunit ribosomal RNA", at positions 28 to 507 of the family's 1533-position model. The record is from RNAcentral.